Molecule: non-coding RNA, 81 nt
Organism: Paragonimus heterotremus
Lineage: Eukaryota; Metazoa; Platyhelminthes; Trematoda; Plagiorchiida; Troglotrematidae
Source: the annotation of a GenBank genome assembly
GGCUUUGUAGAUCAGUUGGUAGAUCAUUUUUUGCGUUUAGGCAUGCUGUUUCUGUCGCUGGUUCGAAUCCGGCCAAAGUCC